This 920-nucleotide ribosomal RNA is filed under the name Cortinarius sp. Its description in RNAcentral is "partial large subunit ribosomal RNA". It matches the Rfam family "Eukaryotic large subunit ribosomal RNA", at positions 53 to 957 of the family's 3401-position model. The record is from RNAcentral. Lineage: Eukaryota; Fungi; Basidiomycota; Agaricomycetes; Agaricales; Cortinariaceae.
AGCGAGAAAGAACUAACAAGGAUUCCCCUAGUAACUGCGAGUGAAGCGGGAAAAGCUCAAAUUUAAAAUCUGUCAGUCUUUGGCUGUCCGAGUUGUAAUCUAGAGAAGUGUUAUCCGCGCUGGACCGUGUACAAGUCUCCUGGAAUGGAGCGUCAUAGAGGGUGAGAAUCCCGUCUUUGACACGGACUGCCAGGGCUCUGUGAUACGCUCUCAAAGAGUCGAGUUGUUUGGGAAUGCAGCUCAAAAUGGGUGGUAAAUUCCAUCUAAAGCUAAAUAUUGGCGAGAGACCGAUAGCGAACAAGUACCGUGAGGGAAAGAUGAAAAGAACUUUGGAAAGAGAGUUAAACAGUACGUGAAAUUGCUGAAAGGGAAACGCUUGAAGUCAGUCGCGUUGUCCAGGGAUCAACCUUGCUUUUGCUUGGUGUACUUUCUGGUUGACGGGUCAGCAUCAAUCUUGACUGUUGGAAAAAGGUCAUGGGAAUGUGGCAUCUUCGGAUGUGUUAUAGCCCUUGGUUGCAUACAAUGGUUGGGAUUGAGGAACUCAGCACGCCGCAAGGCCGGGUAUCUAAUACCACGUACGUGCUUAGGAUGCUGGCAUAAUGGCUUUAAUCGACCCGUCUUGAAACACGGACCAAGGAGUCUAACAUACCUGCGAGUGUUUGGGUGGAAAACUCGAGCGCGUAAUGAAAGUGAAAGUUGAGAUCCCUGUCGUGGGGAGCAUCGACGCCCGGACCAGACCUUUUGUGACGGUUCCGCGGUAGAGCAUGUAUGUUGGGACCCGAAAGAUGGUGAACUAUGCCUGAAUAGGGUGAAGCCAGAGGAAACUCUGGUGGAGGCUCGUAGCGAUUCUGACGUGCAAAUCGAUCGUCAAAUUUGGGUAUAGGGGCGAAAGACUAAUCGAACCAUCUAGUAGCUGGUCC